AGAGUUUGAUCAUGGCUCAGAACGAACGCUGGCGGCGUGCUUAAUACAUGCAAGUCGAACGUGAAAUCCGCUUUCGGGCGGAGAGUAAAGUGGCGCACGGGUGAGUAACGCGUGGAUAAUCUACCCUGAGGCCCGGGAUAACUCGCCGAAAGGCGGGCUAAUACCGGAUAAUGUCCCAUUACCCAAGUAAUGUGACCAUAGGAGGCCCUGCUUCCGCCACAGGAUGAGUCCGCGUACCAUUAGCUAGUUGGUAGGGUAAUGGCCUACCAAGGCUACGAUGGUUAGCUGGUCUGAGAGGACGAUCAGCCACACUGGAACUGAGACACGGUCCAGACUCCUACGGGAGGCAGCAGUAGGGAAUAUUGCGCAAUGGGGGAAACCCUGACGCAGCGACGCCGCGUGAGCGAUGAAGGCCUUCGGGUCGUAAAGCUCUGUCAGGUGGGAAGAACCCUCCGUCGAUGAAUAAUCGGCGGAGCUGACGGUACCACCAGAGGAAGCACCGGCUAACUCCGUGCCAGCAGCCGCGGUAACACGGAGGGUGCAAGCGUUGUUCGGAAUCACUGGGCGUAAAGGACGCGCAGGCGGCCCGGUAAGUCGGAAGUGAAAUCCGUCGGCUCAACCGACGAACGGCUUCCGAUACUGCCGGGCUUGAGUACGGGAGAGGAAAGCGGAAUUCCCAGUGUAGAGGUGAAAUUCGUAGAUAUUGGGAAGAACACCGGUGGCGAAGGCGGCUUUCUGGACCGAUACUGACGCUGAGGCGCGAAAGCGUGGGGAGCAAACAGGAUUAGAUACCCUGGUAGUCCACGCUGUAAACGGUGAGUACUAGGUGUAGGGGGUACCGACCCCCCCUGUGCCGCAGCUAACGCACUAAGUACUCCGCCUGGGGACUACGGCCGCAAGGCUAAAACUCAAAGGAAUUGACGGGGACCCGCACAAGCGGUGGAGCAUGUGGUUUAAUUCGAAGCAACGCGAG
This 973-nucleotide ribosomal RNA is filed under the name uncultured delta proteobacterium. RNAcentral's name for it is "bacterial SSU rRNA". It matches the Rfam family "Bacterial small subunit ribosomal RNA", at positions 8 to 965 of the family's 1533-position model. Lineage: Bacteria; Deltaproteobacteria. The record is from RNAcentral.